CUAUUCAUUCUAUUGGGGUAGCAAUAGCAUACUCUGAAUUGUUUUGUACUUGUCUGCCCUCUUCCCGGUAGGUGUAUAGCAAGCAGCAAGCUAUCCAAGAAAUCAGGCUAUGACUUAGGGAAACAGGGAGAAUAGCAUGGUGUCAUUGGAGUAGCAUAUUAUGUGUCGUUGCGGGCUGAUCUGUCGAAGGUGAGGAGGAAGAGAAUGCGAGGCAUCAUCUUGAAGUAGCUACCUCUGUACCUCUGUUCUCUUUCUUCUUCCUUUAACCGUACCUCUGUAGCUAAGGUAGCGUGAGGGUUCUGCAAUCGAUGCUCAAUUUCCAACUGGCGUGAUUUGAUGCAUGCCCAAAUUUAUGCUUAUAAAUUGAUCACUUUCUGAUCUCAUACGCUGCUCACCUGCUUGUGGUACUUCUUCGUGAAGGGCUCCCUCUUUCUGGUCUAAAGCAAGUGUUGUUUCUGCUUUCUGCUUUCUGGUCUAAAGCAAGAGAGGUCAUUGCAUGUUAAUUCUUCACAAAGAACAGUUAUUAAGAGCAUGUACAUGUUUUUCAUUUGAAUCCCCACCAAGGAGAACAUCAGUGGAAAAUUUUAGUUGCUGUUGGCAACAACUAAGAGGUAAACACAAGUAAAUGCAAAUAGAUACAAAUCCACACAAAGCUACACACAUCUAUCGAAAAAUGAUGUGAGAUGGAUAAAGAUUGAUUUUUCAUUCAAACCCUCAGCAUAAAAUAGAACAAUGUGCAGGGAAUAUGGACUCAGUGGUUCACUCACUGGACGAAUUUCCCACAUCCGAAGAACUCUAAGCCUGGUUCUCAAAGUAUUUUUCCCAGACAAAGACUCUUUAUAGGAUUCGUAUGUCCACCUGAUUCCGCCAUCACAAUGAUUCACUGAAUAGUGGAGAACAAAGAGGGAUAGUGCUGAAGAAAUUGGAUAAAUCGAUUAUGAAGGAACAGAUGAAGAUCCUCACACUAAGUUGUUCAAUUUAUAACCAUACAUGUCUGAUAGGAUGAGUUAGGAGGCUGCUAUACAAUAUAGACACAACCUGUAAAGCAUAACUAAUAGCUGGCUUUGGGAAGUAGAAGGUACCUCGAUAGCCUUCAAAUCGGUUAAAGAACACUCUAAUCAGUUGUUGAAUCAUCAUUCUUAGAGAUUGGAUCCAAUAGACUGGCUUACGUAAGUUUCUCAUUCUUCUAGGCAAAGUUUUUCGUUUUUUUGUUUCUUUGAUAUAAUAGUAUGUAGAAGGAAUAUAGGGAGUACAAUCCAUGAUGGCUUAUGGAAUAAUUGCACCUGCAACUAAGUGAGUAAUUGUAGAAGAAAAUAAAGCAGAAAGGAAUAAUGAUCUCUAAAGCAAGUAAAACUUCCAAAGAACACAAGUUAAAUGGAUUGGUCUGAGAAAUGUGGUCUCAAGGCUGUGCACUAUCCUGAAUUUUGAAGAUGCCAUGAUUUAUUCCAAGCUACAAACAUAAUAUAAUGCUUGCACAUGCAGUAGCAGGUCAAACAUUUGGCCUGGAUAUUUUGCAAUCAAGAACAUUGAAAUAUUACAAUGAUUCUUUUUCUUUUUAAAAUCAUGUUUAGAGAAACUUUAUAGUGUGUGUUUCUUACCUUUGGCCUGGUGGUGGUGAUAAUUUGUUGAUCAUAUAAUGACAUUCAUGUACCAUGGAUUAUAUUAGAUAUGAUUGGCAUUGGCUUAGUGAGUAAACAACAUAUCCAUCUCACGAAUUUAACUCUGCAAGAUCUUUGUGUCAUGUCCUCAAUUCUUUAUUCUUUUUUUGGAUUUUACAAUCUUUAAUCAUGUAGAAUCUUCUCAACUAUUCGAUAUCAUGUUCAUAUUUCAUAUCCUUAGUUAACUCUUAAUAUUUUUUCAUAUCUCUGAAAUAUAUAAUCAACUCUCUUUUCUCUAGCUACUAAUGGAUCUAAUUAAGUUAUGUAAUUAUGUGUGUCAUAUAUAUGCCUCUUCCCUAGCUGUGAAAUCUUAUUAAUUAUCACCAGGUGCUUCCAUUUUCUCUCAAAUUAUCAUCAAACUCUGCAUGAUUACUUUUUUCUCUGGGUAUUUUAUUGUUCAUAUAUUUUGUUCUAGCGAUUUGUGACGUGUUUACUUGUGAUAUGUAAAUAUCAACUUAAUUCGUAGUAGGCUUUCGCCUGGCAAUCUUCAUACACUUUGCAAACAGUAGUUAUGUAGCUUUUAUCUUAUUUUGGUUAAACAGAGGAGUCAAGAUAGAAAGGGCGAGGAGCUAGGCCUUGAAUUAGCUUAGAGAUUCCAUCAUGGAUACAAAAGCCAUCCGAGAUAUAUAUGGUUUGGUUGUCUUUCAUUCAAUUGAUUUUGUUUUAGAUUUGAAAUCAAACUAAUUUGAUUCCAACCAGUUUAAGUUAUAUCUUAAUAGUUUUUAACAUAACUAAUAGGGGUUGUGUUUCCUACAUCUGUUUCUGUUGAUGGUAUAAUUUUUUUCUUUGGUGGUCUUCCUUGAUCAUAUGAGCAGAUGAUGGUUUUGAAGUCACUUUCAAAGCUUUUGCUGAGUUCUUUCAUGGCCAUGUCUUUGUUAACGAAAAAGGCAUUAGACCAUAGUUCCCUGUUGAAAGAAAAUGGGCUUUUGGCCUUCACGUACAGUGGAUGGGAAAAAGUAGGAAUUAAUCAAGGGUCAGAAGAUUGAAGCAAGCAUUAGGCAAACAAUGGCUCACCACCUGCUUUCUUCUUCUUUUUCCAGAUUCUUAAAGAGAGCUUGCUCGGAGUUGGAAAGUGGUGGCCAUGGCUUUCAGGCAGGAGGAGGCAUAUUCUUCACCGCUGUGAGGAAAGUGAUUUUCGCACUACAUUUGUGCUGCUUGCAACGAUUGCAUUUGCAGAACUUUUCUGAUGAGACUCUAGAGUGCUCAUGUUUUGAAGCUUAAAACAUGUUCGUUCUUUGUUAUCUUUGAUACACAAUCUCUUUUGUAGAAGAAAACGCUUUAUAUAGUCUCCCAAGCUAUGUGAUUUCGGAUUAGCUACAUGGACAUCUGCAGCUUUAGUUCUUUUCCUUUGCACAACUAUCAAAUGAACUUUUGGGGGCUCAGCCACACAAAAGGAACCUUGCAUGGCAACAAAAGGAACUAAGAGAGUUCUGCAAUGCAAAAGGAAUAGUUUUGACUGCUGUCUCGCCUCUUAGGAAAGGUGCCAGCAAGGGACCAAAUGAAGUUAUGGAGAAUGAUAUGCUCAAAGAGAUUGUUGAGGCUCAUGGAAAGUCUAUAGCUCAGGUCAGUCUAAGAUGGUUGUAUGAACAAGGAGUCACUUUUGUGGCAAAGAGCUAUGAUAAGGACAUAAUGAACCAAAAUCUGCAAAUCUUUGAUUGGGCACUCACAAAGGAGGAUCUUGAGAAAAUAGAUCAAAUCGAGUAGAACCGUUUAAUUCCUGGACCAACCAAGCCCCGGCUCAAUGAUCUCUUUGAUGACCAAGCAUAAUUUAUUGAAGUUUGUGUGGGAAUGAAUUCUUUUAAUUUUAAUACAUGAUUCUUAGAAUGUAGAGCUGUGAAUUGAGCUCAGCCAUUCUCUUUUGGGUUCUGUUUCGGGUUUAAAUAAUUGAUGUCGCAUCCUAUUUUAUACAAAUUUGUUCUGAAUAACAAUAUUCAUUAUUAUUUUUCAAGAGACACUUGAAUUUCAUACUUUA
Long non-coding RNA from Lotus japonicus, 3630 nucleotides. RefSeq lists it as uncharacterized. The transcript is spliced from 7 exons. The record is from RefSeq and is a predicted model, not a curated record. Lineage: Eukaryota; Viridiplantae; Streptophyta; Magnoliopsida; Fabales; Fabaceae.